AAAGGUGUGGUCGUGAGCAUCGUUCAGUGCAGCUCGGUGUAGAGUCGAGGGCGAUGUGCAGCGGAACGUGGAGGUUGGGUCACGGUGAUUUUCGGUGGCGGUGCGUCGUCAGCGGAGACGGCGGCAGUGCUGUCGAUGAGACGACGUCUGUGAUGUCGUUAGCAGGAAGGGUGGCGACGGAAAAAAGAAGUGAAGGGUGCUAUCUUGAAAGAAGAAAAAGGGUCACUCUUCCAAAAAAAUGCUAUCUUUUUUUGGUAGUGAGUAGAAAAAGAAAUAUAUCUCCCUCCCUCCUCUCGUUCUCCUUUUUGGAAUUUUCAGCCAGUGCCUUCUUUUCAACAGUAGUGGCCUCCCCCUUUUCUUUCUUGGAAUUCCCCGAG
RNAcentral lists this long non-coding RNA (377 nucleotides) under Lathyrus oleraceus (garden pea). RNAcentral describes it as "Pisum sativum (pea) long non-coding RNA (PSAT_LNC027983)". Lineage: Eukaryota; Viridiplantae; Streptophyta; Magnoliopsida; Fabales; Fabaceae. The record is from RNAcentral.